GACGAACGCUGGCGGCGUGCCUAAUACAUGCAAGUUGAGCGCUGAAGGUUGGUACUUGUACCAACUGGAUGAGCAGCGAACGGGUGAGUAACGCGUGGGGAAUCUGCCUUUGAGCGGGGGACAACAUUUGGAAACGCAUGCUAAUACCGCAUAAAAACUUUAAACACAAGUUUUAAGUUUGAAAGAUGCAAUUGCAUCACUCAAAGAUGAUCCCGCGUUGUAUUAGCUAGUUGGUGAGGUAAAGGCUCACCAAGGCGAUGAUACAUAGCCGACCUGAGAGGGUGAUCGGCCACAUUGGGACUGAGACACGGCCCAAACUCCUACGGGAGGCAGCAGUAGGGAAUCUUCGGCAAUGGACGAAAGUCUGACCGAGCAACGCCGCGUGAGUGAAGAAGGUUUUCGGAUCGUAAAACUCUGUUGGUAGAGAAGAACGUUGGUGAGAGUGGAAAGCUCAUCAAGUGACGGUAACUACCCAGAAAGGGACGGCUAACUACGUG
This 497-nucleotide ribosomal RNA is filed under the name uncultured bacterium. RNAcentral's name for it is "partial 16S ribosomal RNA". It matches the Rfam family "Bacterial small subunit ribosomal RNA", at positions 28 to 507 of the family's 1533-position model. The record is from RNAcentral.